UCAUUCAUUCAAAAUUGUUUUGUCUGUUCCAAAUCUUUUUGUCUAUUAAAUGCGUUGCGUAAACUUCUGUAUCGGUUGACAAUGUUAUUAAGAUUUAUAACAGCUUGCUACAUAGAUGAAUCUUUAGUGAAAUCCUCAUUUAUCUAAAGAAAACUAGCAACAGGUAUAUUUGCGGCCCGAUUGUGGCCGCCGCACAGAUACUGGGCGGCCCGGAUCGGGCCGCAGAACAGACAGCAACUAGAGUUAGUAAAAUGGCCGACCAUGCAGUUUGCAUAGUAUGGAUACGCUGAGAGCAGCAUAUUCAAUACAUUAUUAAUUAUAUUUUUUUGAUCCGAUUUAUUUAACACUUAAUAACAAAUGUUUCUAAGUCGCUUUUUUAUAAUUUUACAUAAUUGUUUAAAAACAGCGGUUCUUAAAUUGAAUAACUAUAUUAAAAAUCUUAAUAGACAUAUUAUGAUUUUUAACGGACACUCAUUGUUUUUUCAUUGGUUUGGUUGUCACCCGCAUGGAAAUUUUUUGGCACUUUUAUGCUUAUGUGCACUAAACUAACUGCAUGCUAUAUUUUUGUGUGUGUGUUUUUUUAAUUUAAGGCCACGAGUCUCAAAAACUCGCGGCAGCAGAGGUGGUGGUCGUGGCCGUGGUCGCCAUACUAAUAAUGAUCGGGGCCCUCAAGAAGGUUUGGGCACUCGAGAAGAAGUAGAGACUCGGGGGAUUGUGCACGCUAGGGGCAGUACACGUACUAGGGGUGGUGUGCGGAGUAGGGGUGGUGUGCGCACUAGAGGCGGUGUACAGAGAAGGGGCGGUGUACGUACUAGGGGUGGCGCAAAUACAUCGCACCCGAUUUGUCUAGAAAGGUAAAUAUAAUAUUACUUAACACAAAUAGAGGUAAAUAACUAUUGCGUAGGUACUAUUACAGUCAAAAUUUAAAUCAGUAUUUAUUAAUUUAUGUUUCUCUAUUUUUAGCAUUUAUUGUGGCCCUCUUAAAGACUGGCCAAGUGGCUUGGCCAUCGAAGUUCCUUUACGGAAAAAAUUUUUUAGGAGGACGACACCGAGUCCCGAACCCGCACGUUCAAGAACUCCCAUACUAGUACAGCAUGAUGAAAUACUAUCUGCAGCUGAAACAUUAGCAGCGCUGAGUUCAGCCCCGCCAUCGCCUGGUUUAGACCAAGGAGCCAUAUCCCAUAUAUUAUCGGCAGCUGAAACAUUAGCAGCUCUGAGUUCAAAUCCGCCGUCGCCUCUUUUAGACAAAGAAGCCAGCUGGCCCUCGUUGCCCCUUGAUUUUGAGUUAGUAUAACAACUAGUACAAUUUUCUCGUGCCUACGCAGAUAAUUAUUUCUUGACUAAUUUUUGCACUUUUGCAGAUUGUUUGAUACUGCAGUUGCAUCACGAGUCGUUUCACCUGCACUUUCAUUAGUUUCAAACGCACCUUCUCCAAUAGUGUGAGUAUUUUUAUUACUUAUAUAAAUUAUUUACUUCUAUUUUCUUUAUUACUUAUUAUUUUUACAAUAUUGUGUCCCAGAAAGAUUACGUGGUUAUAUUUUGUUUUUAUUUACAGAAAUAUUGAAGUCGACACGGUUCAGACAUCUGCCCUUAGAACAGUGCGCCUUCCCAAACGCAGAGAGGAAUCUCCUUCCUAUCAGUAAGUAUCACUUCAUAAUUAAAGAAUAAUAUACCCGUGAUUCUUUUAUGUUAAUAAUAAUAAAAACUAUCUUUUCAGAUCUCCUGCAGUUUGUCGUGGCCCUCCUCGUCCAUUAAAGGACUCAGAAAUAGAAAAUGUCCUUUUCUAUGGCAAGUACCUACUUUAAUAAUCGCU
This is a long non-coding RNA of Cydia fagiglandana, 1813 nucleotides long. RefSeq lists it as uncharacterized. Lineage: Eukaryota; Metazoa; Arthropoda; Insecta; Lepidoptera; Tortricidae. The record is from RefSeq and is a predicted model, not a curated record. The transcript is spliced from 3 exons.